Molecule: ribosomal RNA, 337 nt
Filed under: uncultured Pseudomonas sp.
Lineage: Bacteria; Pseudomonadati; Pseudomonadota; Gammaproteobacteria; Pseudomonadales; Pseudomonadaceae
Description: bacterial SSU rRNA
Rfam family: Bacterial small subunit ribosomal RNA
Source: RNAcentral
UGGCUGUCGUCAGCUCGUGUCGUGAGAUGUUGGGUUAAGUCCGUAACGAGCGCAACCCUUGUCCUUAGUUACCAGCACGUUAUGGUGGGCACUCUAAGGAGACUGCCGGUGACAAACCGGAGGAAGGUGGGGAUGACGUCAAGUCAUCAUGGCCCUUACGGCCUGGGCUACACACGUGCUACAAUGGUCGGUACAAAGGGUUGCCAAGCCGCGAGGUGGAGCUAAUCCCAUAAAAACCGAUCGUAGUCCGGAUCGCAGUCUGCAACUCGACUGCGUGAAGUCGGAAUCGCUAGUAAUCGUGAAUCAGAAUGUCACGGUGAAUACGUUCCCGGGCCUU